ACUAUUUUGGCAGACAAGUGCAAUAGAUUUAGAAUCUUUGAAUAUAGAUUUAUCUAUAAAUAGUA
This 65-nucleotide transfer RNA is filed under the name Validiblatta fuliginosa (smokybrown cockroach). Its description in RNAcentral is "tRNA-Leu". The record is from RNAcentral. Lineage: Eukaryota; Metazoa; Arthropoda; Insecta; Blattodea; Blattidae.